This 253-nucleotide ribosomal RNA is filed under the name uncultured bacterium. RNAcentral describes it as "partial 16S ribosomal RNA". It matches the Rfam family "Bacterial small subunit ribosomal RNA", at positions 524 to 776 of the family's 1533-position model. The record is from RNAcentral.
UACAGAGGUCUCAAGCGUUGUUCGGAUUCAUUGGGCGUAAAGGGUGCGUAGGUGGCGCUGUAAGUCGGGUGUGAAAUUUCGGAGCUUAACUCCGAAACUGCAUUCGAUACUGCGGUGCUUGAGGACUGGAGAGGAGACUGGAAUUCAUGGUGUAGCAGUGAAAUGCGUAGAGAUCAUGCGGAAGACCAGUGGCGAAGGCGGGUCUCUGGACAGUUCCUGACACUGAGGCACGAAGGCCAGGGGAGCAAACGGG